Molecule: ribosomal RNA, 696 nt
Filed under: uncultured bacterium
Lineage: Bacteria
Description: bacterial SSU rRNA
Rfam family: Bacterial small subunit ribosomal RNA
Source: RNAcentral
GGAGUGCUUGCACUCUGUGAAACAAGAUACAGGCUAGCGGCGGACGGGUGAGUAACACGUGGGUAACCUGCCCAAGAGAUCGGGAUAACACCUGGAAACAGAUGCUAAUACCGGAUAACGACAGAUGAUGCCUAUCAACUGUUUAAAAGAUGGUUCUGCUAUCACUCUUGGAUGGACCUGCGGUGCAUUAGCUAGUUGGUAGGGUAACGGCCUACCAAGGCGAUGAUGCAUAGCCGAGUUGAGAGACUGAUCGGCCACAUUGGGACUGAGACACGGCCCAAACUCCUACGGGAGGCAGCAGUAGGGAAUCUUCCACAAUGGACGCAAGUCUGAUGGAGCAACGCCGCGUGAGUGAAGAAGGGUUUCGGCUCGUAAAGCUCUGUUGUUGGUGAAGAAGGACAGGGGUAGUAACUGACCUUUGUUUGACGGUAAUCAAUUAGAAAGUCACGGCUAACUACGUGCCAGCAGCCGCGGUAAUACGUAGGUGGCAAGCGUUGUCCGGAUUUAUUGGGCGUAAAGCGAGUGCAGGCGGUUCGAUAAGUCUGAUGUGAAAGCCUUCGGCUCAACCGGAGAAUUGCAUCAGAAACUGUCGAGCUUGAGUACAGAAGAGGAGAGUGGAACUCCAUGUGUAGCGGUGAAAUGCGUAGAUAUAUGGAAGAACACCGGUGGCGAAGGCGGCUCUCUGGUCUGUUACUG